Molecule: ribosomal RNA, 828 nt
Filed under: uncultured bacterium
Lineage: Bacteria
Description: bacterial SSU rRNA
Rfam family: Bacterial small subunit ribosomal RNA
Source: RNAcentral
AGAGUUUGAUCAUGGCUCAGGACGAACGCUGGCGGCGUGCCUAACACAUGCAAGUCGAACGGAGAUAUUAAUGAAGCUUGCGAUUUAAUAUCUUAGUGGCGGACGGGUGAGUAACGCGUGGGUAAUCUGCCCAUAAGUGGGGGACAACAGUUGGAAACGACUGCUAAUACCGCAUAUCCUGAUUUAUUAGGAAAGAUGGCCUCUGAAUACGCUGUCGCUUAUGGAUGAGCCCGCGUCUGAUUAGCUAGUUGGUGGGGCAAUGGCCUACCAAGGCGACGAUCAGUAGCCGGCCUGAGAGGGUGAACGGCCACACUGGGACUGAGACACGGCCCAGACUCCUACGGGAGGCAGCAGUGGGGAAUAUUGCGCAAUGGGGGAAACCCUGACGCAGCGACGCCGCGUGAGCGAUGAAGGCCUUAGGGUUGUAAAGCUCUGUUUUAGGGGACGAAUGUCUAGAUCAGUAAUAUGGGUUUAGAAUGACGGUACCCUAAGAGGAAGCCCCGGCUAGCUACGUGCCAGCAGCCGCGGUAAGACGUAGGGGGCGAGCGUUGUCCGGAAUUACUGGGCGUAAAGAGCACGUAGGCGGAGACUUAAGUCAGGUGUGAAAGACCGGGGCUCAACCCCGGGGUGGCACUUGAAACUGGGUCCCUUGAGGGCAGGAGAGGGCAGUAGAAUUCCUGGUGUAGCGGUGAAAUGCGUAGAAAUCAGGAGGAAUACCAGUGGCGAAGGCGACUGCCUGGACUGACCCUGACGCUGAGGUGCGAAAGCGUGGGUAGCAAACAGGAUUAGAUACCCUGGUAGUCCACGCCGUAAACGAUGGAUACUAGG